Non-coding RNA from Rhamnusium bicolor, 69 nucleotides. The record is from the annotation of a GenBank genome assembly. NCBI's taxonomy places the organism in Eukaryota, Metazoa, Arthropoda, Insecta, Coleoptera, Cerambycidae.
GUGGUAGCCGAGUGGGUAAAGCGCUUAUAGCUAUUUACUCGGUCGAUGGUUCGAUUCCAUCCUGGAGCA